GACGUAGGGUGCGAGCGUUGUCCGGAUUUAUUGGGCGUAAAGAGCUCGUAGGCGGCUCGUCGCGUCGACCGUGAAAACCCGCGGCUUAACUGCGGGCUUGCGGUUGAUACGGGCGGGCUAGAGUUCGGUAGGGGAGACUGGAAUUCCUGGUGUAGCGGUGAAAUGCGCAGAUAUUGGGAGGAACACCAGUGGCGAAGGCGGCUCGCUGGACCGGUUCUGACGCUGAUGCGCGAAAGCGUGGGGAGCAAACGGG
This 253-nucleotide ribosomal RNA is filed under the name uncultured bacterium. RNAcentral describes it as "partial 16S ribosomal RNA". It matches the Rfam family "Bacterial small subunit ribosomal RNA", at positions 524 to 776 of the family's 1533-position model. The record is from RNAcentral.